Molecule: ribosomal RNA, 496 nt
Filed under: uncultured bacterium
Lineage: Bacteria
Description: partial 16S ribosomal RNA
Rfam family: Bacterial small subunit ribosomal RNA
Source: RNAcentral
GAUGAACGCUGGCGGCGUGCCUAAUACAUGCAAGUCGAGCGAACGGACGAGAAGCUUGCUUCUCUGAUGUUAGCGGCGGACGGGUGAGUAACACGUGGAUAACCUACCUAUAAGACUGGGAUAACUUCGGGAAACCGGAGCUAAUACCGGAUAAUAUUUUGAACCGCAUGGUUCAAAAGUGAAAGACGGUCUUGCUGUCACUUAUAGAUGGAUCCGCGCUGCAUUAGCUAGUUGGUAAGGUAACGGCUUACCAAGGCAACGAUGCAUAGCCGACCUGAGAGGGUGAUCGGCCACACUGGAACUGAGACACGGACCAGAAGCCUACGGGAGGCAGCAGUAGGGAAUCUUCCGCAAUGGGCGAAAGCCUGACGGAGCAACGCCGCGUGAGUGAUGAAGGUCUUCGGAUCGUAAAACUCUGUUAUUAGGGAAGAACAUAUGUGUAAGUAACUGUGCACAUCUUGACGGUACCUAAUCAGAAAGCCCCGGCUAACUACGA